CUUCCACUCACCAUUUUACACUUUACCUUCUUCAUUUCAUUUCUCUCAAAAACCCUAGCAAAGACUCCAUUGGAGGAAAGCUUAGUUCAUAGCUUAUCCCUUCAAUUUGGCUCACUUCCAUUCACCUUAGAGUAAAAAGCUUGGGAGACAAAAGCUUCCCCUCAUCCUCCUUUACAAAACCCUUGAAGGAUCUAGCCUAACUCCUAGUUUUGCUUUGGUAUCUAGAGAUUUAAUUCUCUAGUGAGUUGAAGGUAACAAGCUGAAAAAUCUGUCUUGCGGACCAAAAGUUUAGAUCGAUUUCAUUUUGGUGGUAAUUGGGAUUUUCAUUCCAAUUGAGGUACAAGAUACAAGAUACAAGAUUGGAGAUUUGCAUUUGCUUUGGUGAUUUGCAGAAUUGAAGUUUCUUUAGAAGCAUUCUUGUUCACAUGCAAGUGUUAGCAUGUUUAAGUUUUUCCUAUGAAAUGUAAUUUUUCCAACUUAGAGGUUUGACAUGUUAAAUAUUGUAAAUGAAUUGUAAUAAGGCCAUAGGCCAUUUCAGUAUAUUUAAAAUGUUGUUUUACACUUGCGUGUAGGUUCACAUCAUCACACACUUGCAUAUAAUUAAGUUUGAUCAUGCAAUGGGGGAUUCAAGUGAGGCUUAAAGUUUCUUUCUUUUUUUUUAGUUUUGGUGUACGUGGUCUAGUUUGAACUAGAUUUUGUCCCUUUGGUUGUCAUUGGUGCCAUAGGGUACUAUUUGACCCUUUUCAUGUUAGUUUUUGCUUCCAGUUAUUUGCUUGAGCUCCGUGACUUCAUGGAAGGUCACAUUGGUGUCUUGGUGAUGAUUUAUAUCUCUAUAGACUUUGGUUUUUAUCUUUUGCUUCCGCAUUUCAUAUCCGUUAUCGGGUCAACUUUUGCUUCAUCACUGACGCACCGGGUUGAAAAACUUGGGCAGUCACAAAGAGGACCAC
Long non-coding RNA from Cornus florida, 947 nucleotides. RefSeq lists it as uncharacterized. The transcript is spliced from 3 exons. NCBI's taxonomy places the organism in Eukaryota, Viridiplantae, Streptophyta, Magnoliopsida, Cornales, Cornaceae. The record is from RefSeq and is a predicted model, not a curated record.